Molecule: ribosomal RNA, 675 nt
Filed under: uncultured Mortierella
Lineage: Eukaryota; Fungi; Mortierellomycota; Mortierellomycetes; Mortierellales; Mortierellaceae
Description: eukaryotic LSU rRNA
Rfam family: 5.8S ribosomal RNA (bases 231-384)
Source: RNAcentral
CUUGGUCAUUUAGAGGAAGUAAAAGUCGUAACAAGGUUUCCGUAGGUGAACCUGCGGAAGGAUCAUUCAUAACGAGUGUUUAUGGCACUCUAAAAAUCCAUACCCACCUUGUGUGCAGCGUUAAGAGUCUUUUGUCUCUCUUUCAGAGGGCACGAGAUUUCUUUUAAUUAAUCUACCUUAAACCAGUUUGUCUGAAGCAUUGUAUCAUGAAUAAACAUAAUUCAAAAUACAACUUUCGACAACGGAUCUCUUGGCUCUCGCAUCGAUGAAGAACGCAGCGAAAUGCGAUACGUAAUGUGAAUUGCAGAAUUCAGUGAAUCAUCGAAUCUUUGAACGCACAUUGCGCUCUCUGGUAUUCCGGAGAGCAUGCUUGUUUGAGUAUCAGUAAAACACCCUCAGUUCUCUUUUUGAGAACUGGACUUGAGUCAUCCCAACGGCAGUUUCAAAACUACUGGCGGGUCGCUUGAAAUGCAGGUGCGGCUGGACACAUCUUCUGAGCUAUAAGCAUUACUUAUUUAAUCCCGUCAGACGGAUUAUUUCUACUGCUACAGCUAUAUAAGGUCGAUUGUCCGUUUGCCCGACUGAUGCAGAAAAAACAGAGAGAAAUCUUUGUUCACUCGAUCUCAAAUCAAGUAAGACUACCCGCUGAACUUAAGCAUAUCAAUAAGCGGAGGA